CGAGGACUCGUAUAGAGGAGCAGUGGUGCGCCUGCGCCCUCACAAUCGCUGGCGAUUUUCUGCGACAUAGACACGAGUGUUUCUGUCUCCUGAGUUUCUUUUGUUUGUACAGUAAAAUGGCGGCCGCAAAGCGAGCUUUUAUUGAGGUGGAGGGGUACGUGCACGAAGUGUCGUCGGUGCUGCAGUCCGGGUCGGGAAAUGCGCGGUAUUUUUACCGCAGUACUCCAAGAAGCUGAUAAGAAUAGUCGGGUUGUUGUGUUUGAUGUGCAGAAGCACAACAGUUUUCCAGUGUGCGGAAAGAGAUCGGACUGCUUUGAAGCUCAGCGAUGUGGGGUUGUCUCCUUCUAAACAGACCAAAAACACCAAUGACAUACUAGUGAACAGUAGAUCAAAGGUGUCAGUUGUGCGACGCUUAGUUUAUGUGUUCGAGGAGAAAGUCAGCACACACAGCACAGUGAGGACCCUGAGGGAUAUCAUCAAAGAUUUGAGAGAGUACCAGAGGGUAAGUGUAAAUAUUCUUUAU
Molecule: long non-coding RNA, 523 nt
Organism: Cyprinus carpio (common carp)
Lineage: Eukaryota; Metazoa; Chordata; Actinopteri; Cypriniformes; Cyprinidae
Exons: 3
Source: RefSeq, a predicted model, not a curated record